UGGGUAACCUGCCCUUAACUCUGGGAUAAGCCUGGGAAACUGGGUCUAAUACCGGAUAUGACUCCUCAUCGCAUGGUGGGGGGUGGAAAGCUUUUUGUGGUUUUGGAUGGACUCGCGGCCUAUCAGCUUGUUGGUGAGGUAAUGGCUCACCAAGGCGACGACGGGUAGCCGGCCUGAGAGGGUGACCGGCCACACUGGGACUGAGACACGGCCCAGACUCCUACGGGAGGCAG
Molecule: ribosomal RNA, 233 nt
Filed under: uncultured bacterium
Lineage: Bacteria
Description: partial 16S ribosomal RNA
Rfam family: Bacterial small subunit ribosomal RNA
Source: RNAcentral